This 73-nucleotide transfer RNA is filed under the name Camelus bactrianus (Bactrian camel). It matches the Rfam family "tRNA". From Rfam's summary of the family: Transfer RNA (tRNA) molecules are approximately 80 nucleotides in length. Their secondary structure includes four short double-helical elements and three loops (D, anti-codon, and T loops). Further hydrogen bonds mediate the characteristic L-shaped molecular structure. tRNAs have two regions of fundamental functional importance: the anti-codon, which is responsible for specific mRNA codon recognition, and the 3' end, to which the tRNAs corresponding amino acid is attached (by aminoacyl-tRNA synthetases). tRNAs cope with the degeneracy of the genetic code in two manners: having more than one tRNA (with a specific anti-codon) for a particular amino acid; and 'wobble' base-pairing, i.e. permitting non-standard base-pairing at the 3rd anti-codon position. RNAcentral also lists the same sequence under 2 other names. The record is from Rfam by way of RNAcentral. Lineage: Eukaryota; Metazoa; Chordata; Mammalia; Artiodactyla; Camelidae.
GAGGGUAUAGCUCAGUGGUAGAGCACAUGCAUUAAUAUUCAUAAGUUCCUGGGUUCAAUCCCUAGUACCUCCA